Molecule: non-coding RNA, 334 nt
Organism: Coffea arabica (coffee)
Lineage: Eukaryota; Viridiplantae; Streptophyta; Magnoliopsida; Gentianales; Rubiaceae
Source: RefSeq, a predicted model, not a curated record
AUUUUUGGAGAGGAAGGGAAAUUUUCUGAGAUAGGUUGUCUUCAAUUGAGUCAAAAAGUGCAUUGGUUGGGAAUGAGCCAAAAAAUGAAGGGUUAUUGUCUGCUUCAUCCUCCUCACAUGGCAAGCUGCUGAAGAUUGUAAUGCAAAAAUACAUAAGGAGCUAUCCAAAUGACUAAAAGCCUUUUUGGUGAUAGCCUCUGGAGACCCAAAUUUUCUUCAUAGUGUUUCAGUCUUAAAUGCAACGUAAUCUAUGAUGUUUGCUUGUAAGAGAGGUGCUGCAUGUUUAUUUGAAGAGUAUAGUACUCAAACUCGCUCAAACGAUGACUAAUGAUAG